This is a long non-coding RNA of Armigeres subalbatus, 1119 nucleotides long. RefSeq lists it as uncharacterized. The record is from RefSeq and is a predicted model, not a curated record. The transcript is spliced from 2 exons. Lineage: Eukaryota; Metazoa; Arthropoda; Insecta; Diptera; Culicidae.
GCGCGGAAACCUAAAGGUGCACUGAGCUCAAAUCUCCAUUAUAUUUUAUGUGCGUUAAUCAUAUAGAAAAGUUACGACGGGCUCUAGCUCCAUUCUAUGUGCAACAUUUGAUUUUUAUUUGUAAUCAUUGAUAUUUAAUAGCUGAACAGACACAAUAUAAAAGUCAUACACGUACGAUUUAUUUACAUUGACAAUAAAUUUUAUUUGCAGCAUCGCAUAGUUGAUGAGUAUCACUAACGGCACAUAAAAUUUAAAGGUGCACAAUAAAAAGAUUUUCUUUUCCAAAUAUCAAAAUGGCUGCCUGCAGACGGCUCGGAAAAAGGAUUCAUCAGAAGACAGAACGAGCAUCAUAUUUCUUCAAUGGACGCGUGCUUCGGAAGAGCGAACGGACAUGCAAACUGAUUGCACUCUUGCGCUUCCAUCAUUUGUGCAUCCGAUACGGCAGCUCAGUGUUAGCGGGAAUUUGUCAACGUUGCCAUCAAAGCCAGCCGUCUAAAAUCGUCGAUCAAUUCAGUCGGCCUCUAGAAUUGGUUACCAUUUUGGAAGAAAUGUUAUAUUAAAUGAGGGGAAUGACAUAUUUAUGCUCAAUCCGGAACUUCCCGAAGAACACGGUGCACCCCACUCGAAGGGAUGACAAAACUCGCUCGAAAGAUAUACUACCGUUUUGCGGGAUGUGAUCGGGAUAUGCCGUCUUCUCCGCGAUUUUCGACUUGGAGAAGCUUAUGUCAUUCCUUUCGUGUUACUUUUCCGAUAGUGUAGGAGAUCUUGAUUUAAUGCUGACCAUUUGUGAAUAGUGCUGACACCAAACCCGGAGAUUUGAUUCGUAUCUGAACUUGGGAGCGAACAAGUGGAACUAUACAAGUUUUUCCAAGCGGAAAAAUUCCAAAAACACAGCACACCCCGCAAAAAGACGACAAAACUCGCACAGGAUGUGCUGUCUUCCAAACUGGAUAUGCAGUCUUUUUCGGAAUUUUCCGGCUUGGAAAAACUUGUACCGUUACCCUUGGUAGCGAAUGUGUGAGAGAUAUCGUAUUUAUUAUCUGACGAAUUUGUAAAUUACCAAUAUUAAAUAUGUUCUAUUCAUGAAUAAAUGCAUAACAUUAUGGAUAAAUGUAAAAU